GAUGAACGCUGGCGGCGUGCUUAACACAUGCAAGUCGAACGAAGCACUUUAUUUGAUUUCCUUCGGGACUGAUUAUUUUGUGACUGAGUGGCGGACGGGUGAGUAACGCGUGGGUAACCUGCCUUGUACAGGGGGAUAACAGUUGGAAACGGCUGCUAAUACCGCAUAAGCGCACGGCAUCGCAUGAUGCAGUGUGAAAAACUCCGGUGGUAUAAGAUGGACCCGCGUUGGAUUAGCUAGUUGGUAAGGUAACGGCCCACCAAGGCGACGAUCCAUAGCCGACCUGAGAGGGUGACCGGCCACAUUGGGACUGAGACACGGCCCAAACUCCUACGGGAGGCAGCAGUGGGGAAUAUUGCACAAUGGGCGAAAGCCUGAUGCAGCGACGCCGCGUGAGCGAAGAAGUAUUUCGGUAUGUAAAGCUCUAUCAGCAGGGAAGAUAAUGACGGUACCUGACUAAGAAGCACCGGCUAAAUACGUG
This 481-nucleotide ribosomal RNA is filed under the name uncultured bacterium. RNAcentral's name for it is "partial 16S ribosomal RNA". It matches the Rfam family "Bacterial small subunit ribosomal RNA", at positions 28 to 507 of the family's 1533-position model. The record is from RNAcentral.